Molecule: long non-coding RNA, 203 nt
Filed under: Lathyrus oleraceus (garden pea)
Lineage: Eukaryota; Viridiplantae; Streptophyta; Magnoliopsida; Fabales; Fabaceae
Description: Pisum sativum (pea) long non-coding RNA (PSAT_LNC024491)
Source: RNAcentral
UGGUUGAAUCAGCGAAAACCCUGGAACCAAGGAAACUAAAGAGGCGGUGUUGUAGGUAGAGGAAGAGGUUGUGGUCAAAAGCCAAACAAGAGUCACAUUUAGUGUUACAAUUGUUAGAAGCAUGGUGUAGCGGUAAAUUCGUGACCAUCAAGCUAUGGAUAAACUUGAUGUCAAUAAAACCAGAGUCGCCACCGCACUUUUAU